CCUUGGGUGGCGCCCGGCGCGCGGCCGCCGUGGGGCCGGGAGGCUGCGGGGCGCAGGCGGGGCGCAGGCGGACGGACGCCGAGUUCCUGACCUUGAUCUGGGUGCUGGUGGAAGGGCCCAGGAAUCUGACGGGCUUGGGCCCCGGCUUACAGUCCACACCGGCCUCGUCGUCUUCGCCGAACGCCACCAGCCGCCUGUGAACACAGAAGCGGGUCACGGUCAGCCGUGCAGCCCCGGCCUCUCGCGGAAACCGCGCCACGCUGGAUAGACGAACUGAUGAAUGGAUAAGUAUAUUUCAACGGUUUUCUUCACAAAAGACUCAAGCAUUUGAUAGGAAAAUGUAUCCCAAGGUCCAUCUGGGAUUUUGGAUGCAAUGACUGUAUUCCCCGCUAUGGCCAUUCAAAAGCCACAGAGACCCCAGAUGGCUUCUGAAAUAGGGAAACGACCACUGAACAUAGAUGCCAGCAUCGAGUCUUUAAAGCGGCACAAGGACUCACGUCUGGCUGUGUAAAUACAGCCACCAACGUUCAGUUGAAGAAUAUCUAACACCUUUUCUUCUACCUCGUGACCUUCCAUCGCUCCCAGCAACACCUGAAUUUUUGCCUUCAAACGCUCUCAGAAACUGCACAAUAGCAGUGGUCCUGGUCCACCUCUGUAAAAACAAAGAACCAUCACUGCUGAAAUCGCCAACAAUACACUAAGUAGAUAAUAAAACAAAUAUAUUUUAAUGUGACUCAAAAUAAAUUACUCAGCACUGACAAUAUUGAAGGACUUUAUGUAAUAUGAAAGAAGUUUGAGAUACCAGCUGAGAAGCUGGACAACUUUGGCUCUGAGUAUUUAUAAAUGCUAAACCCUCACCAACCAAAUCAUAGCUACUGAAAUGACUGUUUAAAGAAUUAAACAAAAUAAUGCAUUGUCACCUAUAAGGCAGAGGUGAGGUUAGCUUAGGUUCUUUGAUCCUCCCAUGUCUUUACAGUAAGCCUGAGGGAGCUGUCUAGACUGCAGAGGGGUCAGCACGUACCUCGGGAUUAGGCUGCUGGGCUCUACUGCCUACGAGGUGGGGCAAAUUACUCUCCUCUGCCUGCUUCCUCAUCUGUAAGAUGGAGCCAGGGAUGGUGCCCACCUCAAAGGACUAUCAGAGGAAUAACCGCAGAACCUAAAAAAUGCAUCUAGAACAGUCUCUGGCUCAGGGACAGUCCUCCAUACAUGACAAAUAUUGUCUUUAAGGAUAUAAAUUUCACCAUAAGGUGUAUACUGAGGGAUCGAUAUUGGCCCUGGAGAUUUCAGGAAACGUAAGAGCAGAAAUUAUUAACAAUGGUGAUUGUAGUUCCUAAGUUAGGUAACUAAGGAGUGUGUAAUUUAGCAACUGAGGUCACAAUUUGAUGUAUACCAGUAGCCAGACUGGUCCAGACAAGCGACUGAUAACAUCCCUAAAUCAUCUGGCUUCUCCAUUCUAAAAUGGCUGUAGCUUUAAAGAAGUUUUAAGGACUUGAUCCCUUAAGCCAUUCCAGGAGCUGGAUGAACUCCAGGUGACCGUGGGGUUUCUACGGAACCUAAAACAAUGCUGGGAUGAAAGAGGCGCAGACACGCUCCCUGAUGUCACUGCGUAUUUCAUAGCAAAUGUCAAAUGGCUGCCAAGAGGCUCGAUUAUAUCCAUGGCAACUCAUUUUUACUAUGUGAUCAACUAGCAUCCUUUUGUAGACGCUCCAAUUUAGCGGGUCUCCAAUGAAUUGGGGACAGGAGUCCAGUGGUGCCUGAUGAAAACAAUGUGUGUCAAACAUGCUCGGUGGACAGAGACCCUCAUGGACCAACGGUCCAGCUUUCAAGGAGCACUUGUCCAUGGGACUUCUUUUGCUGCCUACAAGUCCUAGGAGCAGCCGGCGACGAUCCAUGGGAGAGAACCGCCUCUGACCCGUGGGGUGCAACUGGCUCUCGCUGCCCCAGGUAGCAGCUUCCUGAAAUCCAUCUAUUCUUCAAAGCCACAGGCAGUGUCACUACUGGCGUGACCUUCGCAGGGACCACCUCCCACCCCCUCCAGUUAGAAUCUGUGCACAGUCCACCGAAUAUACUUCAUAAUCGCUCUUAAUAAUUCCCAUUUACUCGGUGCUUAUAUGCAGGAGACACUUGGCAGCAAUUCUCUUAUUAAAGCCCUACUGGAUAGGGCCGACUGUCCCUACCGACAGACGAGGAGAAAGCGAGCGAUGGGAGCAGGGUCCACACUCGGGCGGCCCCGCCGGUACGUGGUCAGCAGGGCCAGCUGCACCCCACGCUGCCUACUUCUGCAUCCCUAAUUCUCCCGACCUGGGCGCUUCACCCGCCAAGCACCUGUCCCCCUGGAGGCUUCUUGUCGACAACAGGAGCACAGCAGCAGCCUGAGUACAGGGAUGAGGAGGCACCCCGCCUAGGUCAGCUUCCAUCACCGUCCGAGGCCCCAGCCUCCGAUGCACCCCACCUAGACCCCCUGCUGUGUCGGAAGCGCCCUGCCCCCUGGGAGGUGCCCCCCAUGCGGCUCCGUGACCACCUGCACCAAAACCAUCGGAGUCGCUUGCUGCAAAUUCAGAUUCCCGGGCCGCAGCACGGUCGGGUUCAGAAAGUCCCGCGCGGGGUGGGCAGUCCGCCCGCGGACCCCACUUGGAGA
Canis lupus familiaris (dog) is the source of this 2638-nucleotide long non-coding RNA. RefSeq lists it as uncharacterized. Lineage: Eukaryota; Metazoa; Chordata; Mammalia; Carnivora; Canidae. The transcript is spliced from 4 exons. The record is from RefSeq and is a predicted model, not a curated record.